AAUAGUUUUAAAACAUCACCUUUACCUCAAAGGUUGAAAUGAAUUCUAGGCUAAUCUAAAUCUGUAAAUAGCAAUGUUUUCCCAGCUGGCUUCUUGUGUUCAUCUCAAUAUGAAACAUUUGUAUUCUGGCUUGUACUAACUGUGUCAGUGUUUUUCUUCCUUUAAGCCCAGAAACAUAUUAUUCUUUUUUGCUUACAGAGUAAGGACUGUGAUGGGAACUUUGCCCAAGGGAGAAGCAGAAGCAAGAUAAGUAAUCCACCAAAACAUGAGCAGAAUAGAGCCUGUCACAAAGUGGACACUCAGACACUAUUAAAGGAAUGAAUCAAUGGCUGCUGGUGGUUAUAACUCAUCUGGAGGAGGCAGAAAUGUACAGUUAUAGAUUAAGCCAAGUAAAAUGUAACAGCUCUAAGGCACAAGAGGCCUGUAAUGGAGGAGAAAACAAAUAGCCGAAGUAAAUUUGACAUGAUCAUGAGUGAAGUUAAGGUUUGUAUGGUCUGGUAAAACUAAGGUCCUGAGUUAAUAUUUAUAUGAUAAGAGUGCAAAAACCCUUGCUUAAUUUUGUCUAUUUCAUACUAUUACUGUAAUAAUUAUCUGGAAAGCAUCUAUUUAUAUUAGUAAUAUGGCAUUUUCCCCUUGAAAAUAAUAUCAUUUUAUACUGUGCUUCUAACAGUGUAAAGGAAAAUGUACUCAUUAUUUUGCCUUGAACUUUUAAAUUUCUUCUUCUCAACACCAAUUGUUUUUGACUGUGAAACAACUAGAGAUUCCUUUUGGCUUACUUUUUCUAUUCUUUCAUAAAUGACUUUGAUAUUUGUUGUUACUUUCACUUUUAUAUAUGAUAAAUAUUUCUUGUAAUUUUGAAGACAAAGAAAAAAGCUUAUAGAUUCACUGUAAGGUUCUGGAGAAUUCUUACUAUAUUCGGCACCUGAUUAAUAAUACUUUAACAGACAAUAAGUUUUUAUUUAGCCAUCUGCAAAUCACCUGAUUCACUUGCCACCUCAGUGUUUAAAGAUAGGUAGGAAUGACUUAGCAUGUUUUUUUUGAUGAUUUUUAGAAUUCGUCAAUGCCAGCUAAUAAUACCCAAUAUCAUGCAGUUCAACUGUUAGUGUCAUGCUUAUAUUCCUAUUAAUAAUAUUUUUAAAAAAUGAUAGUGCGUGCAAAGAUGCAUGGAUGUAGAUUAUACAAAGAAUUUUAGGGUGCCUGGGUGGCUCAGUUGAUUAAGUGUUCAACUUGGGCUCAGGUCGUGAUCUCAUGGUUGGUGACUUUGAGGCCUGUGUUGGGCUCUGCACUGACAGCUAAGAGCCUGGAGGCUGCUUUGGAUUCUGUGUCUCCCUCUCUCUCUGACUCUCCCCCAAUUGUGUUCUCUCUCUCUCAUAAAUAAAUAAAUAAAAAUUGAAAAAAGUGGGGGGAAC
RNAcentral lists this long non-coding RNA (1409 nucleotides) under Felis catus (domestic cat). RNAcentral's name for it is "lncRNA (ENSFCAG00000053628.1)". The record is from RNAcentral. Lineage: Eukaryota; Metazoa; Chordata; Mammalia; Carnivora; Felidae.